Molecule: long non-coding RNA, 232 nt
Filed under: Elaeis guineensis (African oil palm)
Lineage: Eukaryota; Viridiplantae; Streptophyta; Magnoliopsida; Arecales; Arecaceae
Description: long non-coding RNA (EGUI_LNC058420)
Source: RNAcentral
CCGCCUUUCGUUGUCGCCCUCUUCCAUUUCUUGGAUAUUUCUUUAGCUUCAGUAGCACCGAAUUCCUUUAGGUUUUUGAUAGGGUUCCUCUCCCUUUGCCAUGUAGUCAAAGUUCAGCCAUCUCUUUCUUUGUUUAGACACUUUUACACCUUCAAGCGUCACCCCUCGACAAAGGACUGGUGGUAUUUCUCCCCCCAGUUUGGCAAGAAGGGGUUACUGAAAGGUGCUCCCU